This is a long non-coding RNA of Equus caballus (horse), 2395 nucleotides long. RefSeq lists it as uncharacterized. NCBI's taxonomy places the organism in Eukaryota, Metazoa, Chordata, Mammalia, Perissodactyla, Equidae. The record is from RefSeq and is a predicted model, not a curated record.
GGAGCCCGGCCUGCGGUGACACGGGGGCGGGCCCGGCGAGGGCGGCCCCUCGCGGCCGGCGCGCGGGGACUGGGGCUGCGUGGGGGCGUGCCCCGCGCCCCGCCCGGCCCGCGCGCCGCGGGAUGCACAUGGGUGGCUGCACGCCGCCGCCGCUCGAACAGGAAAUGCACGCUCGGCCUGGGGUGGGGUCUUUUGUGUGGUCCUGCGGGGCGUCUCGCGGGGGCCCCGGGGCGCAGAGGCCACGGCGGGCAGCCCUGCACGCGACGCCGGGUACACGUCCUUGUGCCCCAGGAAGCGGGCACACGGGUUCCCGGGUUUGCACAAGCCAUGGGACCGGGACCUGAUGCCGGCGAACCCGGGAUACGGUAGAGAGGGAGUCAGCGUAAAACGUGGGGUGGUGCAGGCCGGAGUUCCGAUCGAGCUGCCUGACUUGGAGGCUGCCAAGGAGAACGCCCUGAAUUUUCAACACUCUGCCCUAAGACAAGGAAACUGAGGCACACUGCUGCUAGGAAAUGAAAGGACCUGGAUCUGAACCCAUAGGCAGUUGGAGCCUGGAGCCUGGGCUGUUAAUCGCACCACUCCAAAGCCUCAUGCCUGCGACAAGAGACAAGGAUGCUAAAUGAGACCUGCAUAAUAAUCCAAGUGAAAAACUCAGGCUUACGUGUUUCAUACUAAAUUUUGCAAAUUCUGUAUUCUUGGUUCAAAUUCAAUUUCAAGGCAGGUAGGUAUGGUUUUGAUAACCAAACUGCUGUCUGAUUGAUCUGUCAGGGGCCAACCAUGGAAGUGGGAAGCCAGGAUUAAGACAUGAUGAUGCGGUGGGUCCUCUCUAAAUGCUAAGAAGGCUCCUGGCAGCCACUAUCCUAACACCUCUUAAAAAUUCCUCUUCUGGGGGCUGGCCCCAUGGCCGGGUUGUUGGGUUCGUGUGCUCCACUUCGGCAGCCCAGGGUUUCCCUGGUUUGCAUCCUGGGCGCAGACAUGGCACUGCUCGUCUAAGCCAUGCUGUGGAGGCAUCCCACAUACAAAAUGGAGGAAGAUUGGCACAGAUGUUAGCUCAGGGCUAAUCUUACUCACCAAAAAAGGAAAAAAAUUCCUCUUCUGACACUUGCAAAGAGCUUCUCCCUCUACUUCCCACAAUCAAGUUUCCUUUAGCUUACUGGUCCACACAAUUAUCCAUCAUUUGUUUUGUAUUAACAGUGUGCUGGACUGUAUAUAAAAUACAUUGUGCCAGCCCUCACCCAGUAGACUUGCCACCUUAAAAUUUAGUGUUGACAUUGUACCUUUGACGUCAUCUUUGAGUGACCCUAAGAACUGAACACUCUCUCUGAGCCAGUGCUUACAGUCUUAGUAAGAGCUCCCUGAAACUCAUGCCACCUAGGCAGUUGGUGCUUGCCCUGAACCAGGAGGAUCCAGAACUUACACCAAGUGGUGAGGAACUAAGCAAAAACAAAUGGAAGCCAAGUCCCCCUCGGUCACAGUCGUUACCCACUUGCCUGCUUUCUCUGAGUGUCAUUUAAUAUUCUGGUCUAUCAGAUCAUGAGACACCAGGAAUGACCCCUAUCGGCCAAGAGAUUCUGCCCAGAUUUAGACACCUAAGGGUGCUGCAGGCUGUCCCAGGGCAGGGGUCAAGAGAAGAGGAAGAGGGAAGCCAUCCUCGCCAUCCUCAUUUCCAGGAAAGGGAAGGGAAAAGGGCAGACUGGGUAGUGCCCCUGGACUCUGGGAUUCCUGCAGGCGAGCAUCUCUCAGCAUGUGGCCCCUUUCCUCCUACUUAAGUCACAAAGGGCUGGGCAAAAGCUUGGAAACAUUAUUUCCAAAGGAUCGGGGCAGGGAAAGAGUCCUGAACCAGUGGACACCAUUUGUAAACAUGUCCCUAAGGAGGGAAGAGAAAUGACAGAGCAGGCAUGCACAGGGUCCCUUCCUGAUGCAAGUAAUAAUUUGUGCUUAACAGGCAAUAGAGAAUGCAUGCUUCAGUUAUUUUACUAUUAUUUUACCAUUUGUCUCUCUGUUCUUCAAUAGGUUUUUUCCCCCUUAAUGGCAAAAGAAGGUCUUUUGGAGAGUUAUUUUUCUAAUAAAAUGUAAAUAAGAAGAAUUUUUGCAUAGGGUUACAUAGCAACUUAGGACUGAUUCCGGGGUUGCCUGGAUAAAACUGUGGUUCAGAGAGUGACUGAAUGACAGACCAAGGGCUGCAGUGAUUUCUGUUAAGGAAAUUACUGAUGUUAUUUAAUUGCUUUUUAUUUUCCCCCUGGAGAGGCAUUCCACAAGCAUUUAAAAACCACGUGUAUUUGUCAUAUGGGUCUUUUAAACAGACCGAGCUUUCUGUUAAAUGGGGGUUCCUCUCCUAAUACUGUCUCCUUACAUUACCAAAAUCAACCAAUAAAUAUUUACAUUCACUGGAAGA